This 329-nucleotide ribosomal RNA is filed under the name uncultured eukaryote. RNAcentral's name for it is "partial 18S ribosomal RNA". It matches the Rfam family "Eukaryotic small subunit ribosomal RNA", at positions 1470 to 1796 of the family's 1831-position model. The record is from RNAcentral.
CCCUUAGAUGUUCUGGGCCGCACGCGCGCUACAAUGAUAAAUUCAACGAGUUUAUAACCUUGGUUGAAAAGCCUGGGUAAUCUUUUGAACUUUCGUCGUGAUGGGGCUAGACCCUUGCAAUUAUUGGUCUCCAACGAGGAAUUCCUAGUAAACGCAAGUCAUCAGCUUGCAUUGAUUACGUCCCUGCCCUUUGUACACACCGCCCGUCGCACCUACCGAUUGAAUGGUCCGGUGAAAUCUUCGGAUUGAGACUUUGAUUUCUUCACGGAAAACGCUGUUUUAAAAAGUUGAUUAAACCUUACCAUUUAGAGGAAGGUGAAGUCGUAACA